This 554-nucleotide ribosomal RNA is filed under the name Bifidobacterium longum subsp. suillum. RNAcentral's name for it is "bacterial SSU rRNA". It matches the Rfam family "Bacterial small subunit ribosomal RNA", at positions 144 to 713 of the family's 1533-position model. Lineage: Bacteria; Bacillati; Actinomycetota; Actinomycetes; Bifidobacteriales; Bifidobacteriaceae. The record is from RNAcentral.
UCUCUCCUGGAAACGGGUGGUAAUGCCGGAUGCUCCAGUUGAUCGCAUGGUCUUCUGGGAAAGCUUUCGCGGUAUGGGAUGGGGUCGCGUCCUAUCAGCUUGACGGCGGGGUAACGGCCCACCGUGGCUUCGACGGGUAGCCGGCCUGAGAGGGCGACCGGCCACAUUGGGACUGAGAUACGGCCCAGACUCCUACGGGAGGCAGCAGUGGGGAAUAUUGCACAAUGGGCGCAAGCCUGAUGCAGCGACGCCGCGUGAGGGAUGGAGGCCUUCGGGUUGUAAACCUCUUUUAUCGGGGAGCAAGCGAGAGUGAGUUUACCCGUUGAAUAAGCACCGGCUAACUACGUGCCAGCAGCCGCGGUAAUACGUAGGGUGCAAGCGUUAUCCGGAAUUAUUGGGCGUAAAGGGCUCGUAGGCGGUUCGUCGCGUCCGGUGUGAAAGUCCAUCGCUUAACGGUGGAUCCGCGCCGGGUACGGGCGGGCUUGAGUGCGGUAGGGGAGACUGGAAUUCCCGGUGUAACGGUGGAAUGUGUAGAUAUCGGGAAGAACACCAAC